CUAGUCGACUUCCUAGAGUUUGUAGUCCUCGGCGUCAGGAGUGAACGACUAGCUACAGGCUUAACACAUGCAAGUCGCGGGGUCUGCUUCGGCAGACGACCGGCGCACGGGUGAGUAACGCGUAUCCAACCUGCCCCUCUCUUUGGCAUAGCCUUUCGAAAGAGAGAUUAAUUCCGAAUAACAUAGUUAGAUUGCAUGAUAUGACUAUGAAAGCUCCGGCGGAGAGGGAUGGGGAUGCGUUCCAUUAGGUAGUAGGCGGGGUAACAGCCCACCUAGCCGACGAUGGAUAGGGGUUCUGAGAGGAAGGUCCCCCACAUUGGAACUGAGACACGGUCCAA
RNAcentral lists this ribosomal RNA (338 nucleotides) under uncultured bacterium. RNAcentral's name for it is "bacterial SSU rRNA". It matches the Rfam family "Bacterial small subunit ribosomal RNA", at positions 1 to 334 of the family's 1533-position model. The record is from RNAcentral.